Molecule: ribosomal RNA, 663 nt
Filed under: Triticum aestivum (bread wheat)
Lineage: Eukaryota; Viridiplantae; Streptophyta; Magnoliopsida; Poales; Poaceae
Description: partial small subunit ribosomal RNA
Source: RNAcentral
AUGUUAGAAAGAAAUUCAGAGAAGGGGGAAAAGACGAGAGGGGAAAAUCAACGUUCUGACAGCGACUUGAUCGGACCGAUGGGCACGCGUGGCACACCUUCUUUCCACACCUCCCGGCUGAAGCUGCUGCAGAAUCCUCAAACCAAUCAACCACCAUCCAUCACCGGAGAGCAGAGCAAGGAAAUCUGUGGACGAUCUGCCCGUCCACCAAAUCCCUUCAGCGCGCCGCCUCCCUCGCCCGCAACUCGCGAGGACUCUGCGGAUCUCACUCAGCGGCAGCAGCAAAAAGAGCGGAGAGAGCAGCCCGCCAUGGCCAUGGUCGCCUCCACCUCCAUCGCCUACCACAAGCCGCGUUUGUCGGUGGUGUGCAGGAAGAAGGACCGGGACAGGGAGCUGGAGCGGGAGAAGGAGCACAAGCACCCCUUCAAGGUCGUCGAGAUCACGCCGCCGCCGCGAUGCCUCGGCGUCCGCUGCUUCCCCACGAACAUCCACUGCGGAGAGAGCGUGACGAUCGAAGGGCAGGCGUACACGGUGUCGGCGGUGACGCACCGGUACCAGCUGCGCAAGGGGCGGUACGAGCCGAGCGAGAAGCGCCUCGACGUUCUCUCCACCGGCAGAUACAUCCUCAACCUCUACCUCGACAGCCUCCUCGACAAGUCCUAG